AACGAACGCUGGCGGCAUGCCUAACACAUGCAAGUCGAACGAGACCUUCGGGUCUAGUGGCGCACGGGUGCGUAACGCGUGGGAAUCUGCCCUUAGGUUCGGAAUAACUUCGGGAAACUGAAGCUAAUACCGGAUGAUGACGUAAGUCCAAAGAUUUAUCGCCUAAGGAUGAGCCCGCGUUGGAUUAGCUAGUUGGUGGGUAAAGCCUACCAAGGCGACGAUCCAUAGCUGGUCUGAGAGGAUGAUCAGCCACACUGGGACUGAGACACGGCCCAGACUCCUACGGGAGGCAGCAGUGGGAAUAUUGGACAAUGGGCGAAAGCCUGAUCCAGCAAUGCCGCGUGAGUGAUG
Molecule: ribosomal RNA, 351 nt
Filed under: uncultured bacterium
Lineage: Bacteria
Description: bacterial SSU rRNA
Rfam family: Bacterial small subunit ribosomal RNA
Source: RNAcentral